AAGAGAGAGAGGUCGGGCGGCAGAUCAGGCCUCGCACGACCGCUGCGGCUUGUUGGCGUCCGGCUGGAGCGGCGAUGAGGCAUGGCUGCUGGAGGAUGCAACUUGGGGUCGGGCUCCUCUCGAUCCCAGGCAAGGUGCGGACCAGAGGAGGAUCCCGAUGCGGACGGGGUGGACGCGUCCAUGGUCUGGCGACACAGGAUCGAGGGGAAUCGAAGGGAUCUCAUGGCUGCGGUUCUGGUUGAUCGGGCAUAGACACGGAGGAGAGACAGCGGGGUGGCGGCGGCUUCGGGAUUGGGGAGGAAUGGUUGGGACAGCCGAGAUUUGAGAGUUUUGUGUCCUUAAAUACAUAGGUUAGGGGCUAUUUGUACCCUACGAUCGCAAUCGUACUGUAGGAUCAAUAGAAGGUGUUUCUAGAGGGGGCGAAUAGACUACUUGACAAGAUUAAAAUCCUAGCCUUUUCCCAAUUUUAUGGUUGGUGGAAUUUAGCAAUUCUAACAAGUCUAGUACAACCUACACAUGCUAGUCAACAUAUAUGCCAGCGAAAAAGUAAAGACUUUGCACAUGUAAAAGGGAGUAGAGUUUAGGAGAUCAAACACAAAGAGGUUGACACGGCGAUUUUUGGCAUGGUUCCGAUAGGUGGUGCUAUCGUACGUCCAUGUUAGUGGAGACUUCAACCUAUGAAGGGUAACAGUUGCGGGAGUCCACGGAGGGCUCCACCCACAAAGGGUCCACGAAGAAGCGGUCUUGUCUAUUCCACCAUGGCUUCCGGCCACGAAGGACUAGCCUCACUCAUGGUAUAUCUUCACGAAGUAGGCGAUCUCCUUGCCCUUAAAAACAUCUUCAUUCAACUCCACAACACUAAGUGGGAGGCUCCCAAGCGACACCUAACCAAUCUAGGAGGCACCACCCUCCAAAAGGUAAUAGAUGUGGUAGAACGAUGAACUCCUUGCUCUUGUACUUCUAAAGAUAGUCUCCUUAGCACACAAUCACUCUCGCACGAAAUGGGCAUGGGUAGGAGAGAUUGAUUUGGUGAAAAGCAGCUUGUGGGGUGAGAGAUCAAGUUUCAAAUGAUUGGAUUGGAAUAACUUGGUCUCAACACAUGAGUAGGUGGCUCUCUCUCAGAAAAAUGAAUCUGGCAAUGAAGUUUGUGUUCUGAAUGCUUCCUCUGCGAAUGAGAGGUAGGUGGAGGAGUAUAUAUAGGUUGUCCCCAAAAUCCAACCGUUACACCUAAAGUGGCCAACUUUGUGACACCGAAGUCAUGAACUCGAUGGUACCGACUUGCACUAAAGGCAUGAUUUUAAAUCUCGGUGGAACCGAUAUACACAACUCGGUGACACCAAAAAGGUGGCUAACGGUCAGAUGGCACAACUCGGUGACACCGAUACCAAACUCAGAAAUUUCGAUUUUGUGUAUCGAGGCAACAGAAAGUUGAUCAUCUAAACUCGGUAGCAUCGACAUGGUUUCGGUUGCAUCGAUUUGGUGGCUUUGGCUAGGGUUGUGUCUGGGAUGAAAAUCGGUAGGGCCGAAUUGAGAAACUUGGUGGCACCAAUUUUGGGUAUGUGGAUUUCGACAGAAUGGUUAUGUGAGAAAAUGACUCAGUAUUUUUGGUGGCUAUCUUUGAGCACUUGAGAAACCAGUUCAUUUCACUACCUCGCCCGCUUUUAAUAGUAUUAACUUUCCUAUGGACUCAAAAAUGAUUUCUCAAAAAUAUAAAAUGAAGAGUCUUCUAGAUUGAAGCUUGGGCCAAUCGUAUUCCUUUCUUGCAUCGAGGGGCAUCUCUACAUAAUCCUUUAGCCAAUGCUCUCUAUGGACUAUUCCUGAAAUAUACUAGGUAAAAUUGUUAGUCCAAGAGACAAUGUAUGUUGUCAUGAAUUAUCAAAAUCACCAAGGGAGUAGGUGUGCUUUCAAUCUUCCCUUUUUUGGUAACUGAUGACAACAUACAAUUAAAAAAAUAUAAGCAUAAGAACAUGACUGCUUUGAAAGAUACAUGACUAGUACAAGCUCCCCCUAAGUGUGUGCAAUCCUUUUAAGGGAUAGUUGCUUUGGAAUAUAUAGGCACACACAUGGAAGAAAGGACAAGACAAGUCAUGUACAUCCUGGAUAUAAGCAUCAAACAAUGUGAAUGAAGAGCUUCCAUGAUCAAUACUCCCUCUUACAAACAAUAUGUGCAAGAAACAAGAAAUCAUCAUGAACAAGAAUAUGAUGCAUAUACUUACCUUGAGGAUCUUGAGAAUCUUAGCAGUAGGAGUACACUUGAGAAAAGAUUUGUUAGAUAACACAAGUGUAUACUAUUGUAAAGAUGCAAAGAGCUUCAAGAAUACCAAGAUAUUGAGGACAUAUUGAGAAUAGUAUUUGAUGAUAGAUACAUCUCGAAGAGAAUUAAGAACUUUCUCCCCUAAGAGUGAAUAUGUAAGAUUUUCCUCUCCCCCUGAAUAAUAGCAUGUGGAUAUUGGGAGUAGGUAGGGUAAGACAAGUUCAAUCCAAUAAAAAUGAUAACUGAAACAACGUUAUCUCUAUCCCCCUUAAUGUGUAAGGUUUCAUACAUCUCCUUUAGGUAGGUCUCCCCUUAGGCAGACCUACCCUUAGGAACAUAUAUUUCAACCUAUUAAUAUUUCUCCCCCUUUCGUUUAAGCUUAUUAGUGAUAUUUUUCCCCUUUAUAUAGGCUAAUUGGAAGCUUUUAUAUUUCUCCCCCUUUGGCAUUAAUUUCCAAAAAGGUCAGAGGGUAAGGGCACAUUGAGAGAAAGGGAUCCUGGAUACUUCUUUCUUUGAUAAGGGUUCCAUGAAUUUGGCUUUUCUCCGCCUUUGAUAGUAAGUCAGGGUUCAUUGAAUUUUCUCCCCCUUUGAUAUGGAUAAGAGUUCCUUGAACUAUCUCCCCCUAUGUUUGAGAUCCUCGAUGAUUCUUCCUCUUAUAUUUUGGGAUCAUUGAGGUUUUCUCCCCCUUGAAAAAUGAUGCUAAUACUGAUUUUGUUCUCCAAAAUGUUCAAUAAAAUCUUAGAAGGCAAUGAAACAUGGUAUCAUUGAUAAUCUUUCUCCCCCUAAGGCAAAAGACCAGAAAAUAUCAGAAAAUCAAGGACAGUGAUAAUAUCGGAGUCACCUACGCAAAGUGGUUUGAUAGAACCAAGAAUGAUAAUCACGCCUCUAGAAGAAAUUGGUUGGACCAAGUUUCCCAGAUCGGUGAGACCGGGUUGCGAAGUAAAUCAACUCCUGAACUGAAAAAUAGACAGAAACAAAAUCUAAGGAUACCAGUUUGAGAAAGAAAAUAAUAAAAAUAAUAUUUUUUAGAAAUAUACAUAAAUAUAGAUGAUAGUUGAAUGGUUCCAAGAAGAUAUGAAAUGACAAAUUUGAACCAUACAAGAAUCUCCAUUUAGAUGUGGGGCGGUUACUAGGUCACCUAUAUUAGAGUACUUAACUUGAGGGGUCAAGCAAGGAUGCUUGAUCAUAGGUCAUACUCAUCGUUAAGCGUAAAAUGGGGUUACCAUUUUUUGAUUAAGCAUUUCAAUGUCUUCAUAUCACUUGAGUUUCUUUACCUCAUGAAUUGGUGUAAAGCUUUAUCAAUGAUAUGAGUACAGACCUUCGAAUGAUGUUCAUGACUUGGCAUGUAGGCGAACUUAUUGUGGAUGCUCAAUAUUGAUGAAGAUCAUCUUGAGUUGAAAGCAAUCAUUGUCAUUUUGGUUCACUUUUCACCUACAUUCGUUAGUCAUGCAAGGAACAAGAUAUUAUAUCUGAAUGACAAGAGUGAAUGAAUUCAUCAAAUGAUAGUCAAGUAUAUGAUUUUGUUGUCUUCUUCCUUCAUCUCCGAAGAAGGGGUUGUUGAUACUUGGACAUGACAAGAUUCCUUUUGAUGUGAGUUGAUGACAAUCUUGUGGAAUGUAGUUGUAACGUCCAAGAUGCAGUCCUAUCCUUCUUUUGGCACAAGGGCCUCGACACGGAUAGAAACGCAUCUCGUCGUUUCGCAAGAAUCGAUAUCGUUACAAGUACAUGUACUGAAAAGGUGAGUAUAAGGAAUUGGCUUACACUCACCAGAAGCUACAUCAAUAUCACAUCAAUACAAAAAUAUACAGUCAUCAUGAAGAAGAGCAAGGUUUGACUACGAACGAAAUCAAACGAUAAAAGAACGACCUCCAUCCUUGCUAUCCCAGGUUGCCGGCCUGUAACACAUCCUAGAUCGAUGAUGAAGAAGAAGAAACUCCAAAUAGCACAAUCAACGCGCUCACGUCAAAUUAACUCUUUACAUGUACCUGCAACUGGUGUUGUAGUAAUCUGUGAGCCACAGGGACUCGGCAAUCUCAUUUCCAAAAGUAUCAAGACUAGCAAAGCUUGAUGGGUGAGGUAUGGUUAAGUGGUGAGGCUGCAGCAAGCGCCUAUGCAUUUAUUUGAGGUGGCUAACUUACGAGUACAAGAAUAGGAGGGGGACGAUUUACGCAUAACCGGACAUGAACUAAUAAUGAUCAAAUGAAUGAUCCUCAACACCUACUUACAUCACACAUAACCCCAUCGUGUCCUCGAUCAGAGAAGGAGCUCGCGAAAGAGACAGUCAUGGUUACGCACUCAGUUCACACAUUUUAAUUAAGCUUACUUUAAGUUAUCUAGAACCGGAUGUUAAACAAAGUUUCCACGUUGCCACAUAACCGUGGGUAUGGCUUUCUGAAAGAUUGAACCCUACAGGGGUACUCCAACUACUCCAUCACAAACUACCACAUGCUGCGACGGAAUGACCUCGAUGAGGGAAAACAUGUGAUCUUCUUGGGUUCCUAUUGAAAAGCCUCAACAUCAAGAUGGCCCAAAGUAUCCUCGCAAUCCCUCACACAAAACGCUCGAGAAAGGUAAAGCAAGUCCAGCAAGGCCACCCAAAGUGCCGACAAUCCCGAUAGGAGCCGCGUAUCUCGUUCUUAGGGAACAAUCGGAUGAGGGCAGCAUACAGUGGCCUGAUAAAAAUCACCCUAGUUGCCCCGGGUUUGCCCCGCACACGACUCUGUUUAGGAGCAGCACAAUCAGCACUAACUCCCUAUGUAUUAUGUUGAAUUACUCCUCGGGUAGCGCUAACUCCCUAUGUUUUCGGUAUUAACAAAGCUGUUAUGUUGAGAAAAUAUAGUACCAAUGUUGGUCCUUACCAGACGAGCUUUAUCACAAAACGAGAAUUUAGGGGGUCCCCAUAACAACCCCAAGCAUGUUAGCAACGCUCAUUUAUGGAACAUAACAUUGGUAGCCGAAACUAAGGCGACAAAGGUGGAACAAAACACUAGACUAAAAAGGCCAAGCCUUCCACCUUUUACCAAGUAUAUAGGUGCAUUAAUUUAAAUAGCACUAAUAAGGUGAUAUAAAAAGGAACCCAUGUUAUCACAUGGAAGCAACUACACCUGCAACUAGCAACUCUAUCAAAUGGUUAAGCAAGUGGUAACAUAACCAAUCGGUGGUUUGCUAGGUUGUAGAACAACUGAAGGUUUUCAUGGUAAUAUUGGGAGGCUUAUUAAACAGGUGGUAGGCAGCAAUACAUAGUGAUAGAAACGAUAUAACUUGCAUGGAAAUGAUAGUAGUGGUAUCUAGGAAAAUGAUCAUCUUACAUGUAAUCCCGCUUGAAAGAACGACUCCGUGAAGCAGACGAACCUACGUAGUCGAACGGAUCCUCACAUUUUGACACAUUUGUGGAACUCUAUCGAGACGACCAAACCAGAAACAAGAAUCAACACACGAUAUUAACCAUGGCACAUGAACGACAUGAUGCACAACACAUAUGAUGCAUGCUCGAUUAAAUCAUUCAAGGCACGGCAUGGCAAUUCACAAUCAAACACUACACAUUAAGUGAAGCUCAAUAUGCAACGAGUUGCAUACUGAAGAAACUCCACAAUUGAAUUAUUUAUUUCACUCCAUUGAAGUACAAAGAAAUAUUAAAUGUUGUUGAACAUGGCAAGGGGUGAAUCACAAAUAAUCUACCUAUCUAGGCAUUUUAAAUGAGGCCGGAAACGACAUAUAGCAUCUCCGAACCGACUCCACACGUUAACUUUGUAAUCUGUCCAAAUCUAUCCUAACUGCAUUUUAUGUUUGUUAAACGGCAAAACAAAGUGGAUCACGUGAUUUUACUCGUCGUUCUAGUCCAUUUACAUAAAUGGCUCAUCUCCAACGGAGCUACGCUUAAUUAACUACGGACUAAACCAUUUUUAUCACAUCGACACACAAACCAAUGCAAACAGCAUGCUAAACAGUAAAUAUGCAUGAAAGUUGGAAAAUAAUAUUCUAUGCGAAAAUCUACAUGUUCUACAUACAUAAUUUGUCGCGAUCCGACACACAGCUUAAAAACUACGGGCGUUCUAAAAUAGGCAUCUAAUGAAAAUUGCAAUUACUAGACGAAAGAAAAACUACGAGCAACAGACACAGGCUGGGCUAGCCACUGCCAAUGACAGUGGGGCCGCACAGGUGGUCAACUGGUCAACUCAAUAUCAGUCAAUCAUGGCGUUGGGCCCCGGAUAUCGUUGUCUCAUAGAAAAAAGGAAAAAAAUGGCCCAGGGUGAAACAAGAUGGCACUAGCCACUCGAUCUACUCCAUGUACCACGGCAGGAAUAAAAUGAAAAACCAAAUAACCUAACAUGUCGGACGGAUCUAGGGAGAACACAACCUUUCUGCCAUGGUUGUGAGCUUCUCACCAGCGAGGAACGGGAAGGCAGCGGCGAUGAUGUCCGGUGGCGCGGUCCGGAAGCGGUGGAUCCGAUGACACGGGCUCCAUUUCCAGCGUCAGGGGAUCAAUUCGCGGUGGACCGCUGGUGCACAAGCUGCGAGCACCCCAUCCAUGGUGGGGUUGAUGUUCCUGUUGGUCAAGAGAGAGAGAGAGAGNNNNNNNNNNNNNNNNNNNNNNNNNNNNNNNNNNNNNNNNNNNNNNNNNNNNNNNNNNNNNNNNNNNNNNNNNNNNNNNNNNNNNNNNNNNNNNNNNNNNNNNNNNNNNNNNNNNNNNNNNNNNNNNNNNAGAGAGAGAGAGCUGAGCGGGAGGGAGGAGAAGGAGAAACACGGGAGGCACGAUAGGGAAAGGAGAGGGCGCGGAGGCAGUCCCUGGAGGUGGGGCGAGGCCCAAGGGACCAUGGAGAAGCUCCGGUGGCCGGUGAUGCAUCCUGCCAGAGAAACAGAGAGAGAGAGAGAGUUGAGAAACUGGGAGAAAAAAACGAAAGAGUGGUGGAGAUAGCACGGGGACAAGGGACGGCGGCUUGAUCUCAGGUCAUCGCGACGAGGUCGCGAGGUUGGAGGAGCUCGGGAUGAACUUCUGCACGGCGCUCGGGAUGCUCCUGCAAGUGCCAGGAGGACACACUGCAGAUCGAGAGGAGGCAGAACAAGGACGGUUGUCCCCUGGUUUGUCGGGUACAGAGGAUGAGGGGAUCGAGUGGGGCGUUGGUUGGUGUGCUUAGGCCUGCUCUAGUUGGAUGCGGUGCGGAUGGAUCCCGACGAAGAAGAGUGGUGGCGGGGUGAGGAAAAACAGGGAAUUGGUCUACGGUUUGACACAUUUGGUAUGGGGUUGGUCUAUAUGCACCUAAAAGAUUAGGGUUAGGACCCUCCGAUUAAAUCAGACGGUCAAAAAUAGUAAGAUUAGGGAGUCAAGUGGACAAAUCUAUGAUGGUUUGUAAUAAAAUGGGGUUGACCCGGAUCAAACGGGCACGACCGUGUGUUACGGGUUCCGGAAGGUUUUCGAACUAGGUUGCGAACGGACCCGUGCACUGUGCAGAGACGCUAGGCGGAGAUAAGAGGGAAAACGGGCAGCCCCGCAUCGGAGUUAAAAUACCGAAACGUUCGACAAUUGACCGGCUAUAGUGCGCUAUAUAUUUAAUGAUUCGGGUAUCAAACAAACUCCUAUUGCGACGAAAUUUGGCAGGCGGCCUACUUAUAAUAAAAUAAGACCGCAUGCCAAGUUUCAACCCAAUCCGAGAAUAUUUUUGAACACUUUUAAAAACAAUAUUUUAUCGAUGUCGUGGGCGCGUGCGUGUGUGGUCAGGCUCAAAUUGGUCAACGACGAACACCGAGAGAACCGAUAACUAAUAACAGGUGCAAGUUUUGAAAACUGGAGACAACGGAGUGCCGAUGCAAUGUGGAUGAUGCACAUGAUGCGAUGAUGAAUGCGACAGACAAUCUAGCAAAACGGCAACCACGGAAUAACAGGGAAAUCUUCUGGAGCGUCGGUCUCGGGCUGUCACAACUCUCCUACACCAACAAGAGAUCUCGCCCCGAGAUCUAAGAAUGAAAAGGGGAAGAGGAAGAGAAAGAGAGGUAAAACUUAGUCGCUUCUUUGAUAAACGAGUGAAACCAAUGAAUCUUGAAGGUUGGAAGAGAUGAAGAAUGAUAUGAGAAACAAACUAGAAUUCACAAAAAAUUUCGGCAGCACUUCGAUAGGGAAUUGAGGCAAAAUUGUUAAGAUGGAAGAUCUUGAGAAGAUUCAAAACAAACUAACUAAAUUGAUAAGCAAGGAAAGAACAUGAUCUUGAUAGAACAAGAUGAUAGAUUGAAGAGAGCAACAUCACCACAACUCCGGAACAAGAGAGUAGAAACUAGAUCUUUGAGAAGAAUAGAAUGAAGAAGAAAAUGACAACUGCUAUCACAGUUGAAUUUGACAAGCAGCCUUGCAAGAAGAAUAGAACGGAGUUGUUGGAAAACCAAUAACGAAAAGAACAAGCUUGUAGUGGAUUUAUGAAAACCAUCCCAAAAUAAUGAGGUGACAACCAGCCACUAAUAGAACAAGGAUUGAUUAAGAGCAACAAGAUAUGCACAACUACUUUCACUAAGAGGAUACAUUGAGAACUAGGAUCAAUGAUAAUCACCAUAAUAGUUGCAAUCCUUGGAAAAAGCUUUAGGUGAAAUCUAAACAAAGAUAGCUCAAUGAAGAAAUAAUGGGUUGAAAAUAUCUCAUGAUCACAGAAUCGGUGGGUAUAAAUAUCUCAUUCUUUAAACAAAUUUUGUUCGAGACUCCUCCAGUAACAAGAAUGCAACAACAACACCUUAAAGGAUAAAGGAGGAAUAAUUGCACUUUGAAAUGCAAGACCAAGAAUACUUGAGGUUCCCCAACAAGAGACUUGAAGAACACCUUGAGAAUGAAAAGAUCGUGAUCCGCCUAACAGAAAACUUCAACAAAGCACCAGAAUAAUUGAGAGAUGAACGAAGAGACAACAACUGAGAAGAAUUUGAAGAUGCAAGCUGAAGGCUGAGAACGAAGAAAUAUUCUGAAACGAUGGCCUUCGAAGGAUCGAGAAUGAAAACAACUAUGAAAUGCACCAGAUAGAUAUGGAAGGAAUUUCUCAUGAGCGAAAACAAAUGACAGGAUAGCGCGAAGCUGAGAUGAAAAUCUUGAAAAUAAUGGAGCAUGAUUUAAGUGAAACUCUCCUUCGGUCUUCCAAGGUGAGAAUGAUGAGAAGGGACACCACCAAAAUUACUGAGACACUCUGGAAUAAGAAUAUGAAAAGUUGACCACAUGAUGAAAUAAUUCAGAUUGACCUUGGCGAAGGAAUAUGACUGAUGAAAUGCAUGCUUACGUCAUAAUUGAAAAGAAUUAGAGAUCUCCGAAAAACAUUACAAGAGCCAGGUAGGAUUCUGGGAAUAACAUGUGGGUUAUGGGCCCACUCAAAAGAAACCACCGUUGAAAGAUUGCUCGGGAAGAGAGAUACUGCACCGGUAUAACUGAAAACUUGAUGAGGUUAGCACCUUGAAAUAAUUGAAUGGAUUGAAAAUAAGAAACUUCUGAGAUAUCUUCAACACUUCGUAUAGAACAGAGAGGAAUGAAUAACAAGAGAGGCUUGAUAAGAAUUCCCAACACAGAAAUCUUCAGGGGGAGAAAAGGAUAUGAUGAACACCGAGAGCUUGAAUUGAGUUCAUCGGAAAAGAGAACAAGAAUGAAAAAUGAUGAACUUAACACUGGGCAUCUUCACAAUGAAUCACGGGAUAAGAGAGAAAAGAAAAGUCAGUGGAAACAUCAAUGAAUUGAAACGCACUUGGAUGAUAAUUGAAUCACUAAAGAAAAGGGCGGGAGGGCGGGGAAAAACAAAGACAACUUGGGACAAAUGAGACAAACUCCGAAAAGAAAUGAGAGAUUGAUCUUGCAAAUAUUGGAGAGGGUUGAAUUCACUUGAAGAGAAGCACACCGGAUGAAAAGAAUUGAUAUGACAACUCCGGUUUGAAAAGAAUGGAGAGACAAUUUGAUUGAGCAAAACAAUUAGCAUUCCCACAAAAUAUGAGAACACCACUUAGGAAGUUAUGAAUUCACCACUUGACAUCGAAGCAACUUGAAUUACCAUAUUCUAACAAAACAAAGGAUGAGGCUUGCGAAUUAGCGAGAACAAACAUAUAGCACAGAUUCCAUCCGAUAUUUUCAUGGAUAGGAUCGCACAGGCUCUAUCCUAUAGCAGCCAUCAUGUACAAGGCAGUGCACACGACAUACGAAGCAUCCCUGAGUCGUUGCAAGCUACAAGGACUCUUUAAGACACAACGAGAACCGCUGUAAGACGACUAUGAACAAACGUAUCCACUAGAUGUUGAACCCCAACCUCACAUCAUGAAUUUGUUGGAAGAUUGUCCUAUAAGCACUACCUGAAUUCCCACCUAAGAACUCCCGAAAUUUUAUGGUCAUGCAAUCGGGUCCACGGAUACAAGGAGUAAAAUCCAUCACUCAACUCCUAGCAAUAACACUACCCGUCCGGUGUAUCACAUCCGUCAACACAUAACCAAAGAUCUCUCAAACUCAUCUAUCUGACACCCUCGUAAUCACAAUGAUACCAAGUAUGGUGGUACCCCCGAACUCUAUACAGCAGUACUGGGGAUGCCGGGCAUAUCUCGCCACUACUAGUGUUGAAACAAUUUCGAACAUCCUUCGUCCUGAGAUACUAAGAAAUCUGAACGAUAACAAUGUGCUCAAGAAUCCCCUAGAGCUCAACUCCCUGGAAUAAAAUGAACACAACACGAGGCACCAAGACAGAACUCUGUCACAUCGACCAUCAUAUAGAUUCCAAAAAUAUCCGCGUGAUCCUAAAAAAUUUUGAGUGAGAAGAGGAGUAGAAUUAAAAUUAUUACGUCGACAUUCCUCACGAGAGCAUAGAAGCGGAGAAAAAGAAUUCUACUCUCUGAUAUAUAAGUAGACUCAAAUUAGUUUUUCACUAGACUCGACUCGGCCAAGUUCGAUCAAUCAAGGGGGCUCCUAGGUCGGUACUGCUCUGAUACCAACUUGUAACAUCCAAGAUGCAGUCCUAUCCUUAUUUUUUCAUGAGGGCCUCGACAGGAAUAGAAACGCAUCUCGUCAUUUCCCAAGAAUGGAUAUCGUUACAAGUACAUGUACUGAAAAGGUGAGUAUAAGGAGUUGGCUUACACUCGCCAGAAGCUACAUCAAUAUCACAUCAAUACAGCAAAAUACAAUCAUCAUGAAGAAGAGCAGGGUCCGACUACGGAAGAAAACAAAUGAUAAAAUAAUGACCUCCAUCCUUACUAUCCCAGGCUGCCGCCUCGAACCAUCCUAGAUCAAUGAAGAAGAAGAAGAAACUCCAAAUAGCACAAUCAGCUCGCUCACGUCAAAGUAACUCUUUAGUUGUACCUGCAAAUGGUGUUGUAGUAAUCGGUGAGCCACAAGGACUCAGCAAUCUCAUUUCCAAAGGUAUCAAGACUAGCAAAGCUUAAUGGGUGAGGUAUGGUUAAGUGGUGAGGCUGCAGCAAGCGACUAAGCAUUUAUUUGAGGUGGCUAACUUAUGAGUACAAGAAUAAGAGGGGGAUGAUCUACGCAUAAUCGUACAUGAACUAAUAGUGAUCAAAUGAAUGAUCCUGAACACCUACUUACGUAAGACAUAACCCCACCAUGUCCUCGAUCGGAGAAGGAGCUCGCGAAAGAAACAGUCAUGGUUACGCACUCAGUUGGCACAUUUUAAUUAAGCUUACUUCAAGUUAUCUAGAACCGGAUGUUAAACAAAGUUUCGAUGUUGCCACAUAACCGCGAGAACGGCUUUCCGAAAGAUUUAAUCCUGUAGGGGUUCUCCAACUAGUCCAUCACAAACUACCACACGCUGUGACGGAAUGACCUUGAUCAAGGAAAACCCGUGAUCUCCUCGGGUUCCUAUUGGAAAAUCUCAACCUCAAUAUGGCCAAAGAAUCCCCGGAAUCCCUCGCACAAGACGCUCGAGAAAGGUAAAACAAGUCCAGCAAGGCCGCCCGACGUGCCAACAAUCCUGGUAGGAGCCGCGUAUCUCGUUCUCAGGGCACAAUCCGAUGAGCGCAGCAUAUAGUGGCAUCAUAGAAAUUACCCGAGUUAUCCCGGGUUGGCCCCGCACUAGACUUUGUUUAGGACCGGCACCAUCAGCACUGGACCUCCCUGUAUUAUGUUGAAUUACUCCUCUGGUAGCGCUAACUCCCUAUGUUUUGAGUAUUAACAAAGUUAUUAUGUUGGGCAAAUAUAGUACCAAUGUUGGGCCUUGUCAGACGAUCUUUAUCCCAAACAGAGAAUCUAGAGGGUCCCCAUAACAAACCCAAGCAUGUUAGGAGCGCACAUUUAUGGAACAUAACACCGAUAGCCGAAACUAAGGCGACAAAGGAGGAACAAAACACCAGUCUAGAAAGGCCAAGCCUUCCACCUUUUACCAAGUAUAUAGGUGCAUUAAUUUAUAUAGCAUUAAUAAGGUGAUAUAACAAGGAACCCAUGUUAUCACAUGGAAGCAACUGCACCUGCAACUAGCAAUGCUAUCAAAUGGUUAAACAAGUGGUAACAUAGCUAAUCAGUGGUUUGCCAGGUUGUAGAACAGUUGAAGGUUUUCAUGGAAAUGUUGGGAGGCUUAUUAAACAGGUGGUAGGUAGCAAGACAUAGCUGUAGAAAAGAUAUAACUAGCAUGGCAAUAAUAGUAAUGGUAACUUGGUAAGUGAUCAUCUUGCAUGUAAUCCUGCUUGGAAGAAGAACGACUCCGUGAAGCAGACGAACCGAUGUAGUCGAACGGAUCCUCACAUUCCGACACGCUUGCGGACCUCUAUCGAGACGAGCAAACCAAAAACAAGAAUCAACAAACUAUAUUCACCACGGCACAUGCACGACAUGAUGCACAACACAUAUGAUGCAUGCUCGAUUAAAUCAUGCAAGGCACGACAUGGCAAAUCACACAAUCAAACAGUACACAUUAAGUGAAGCUCAAUAUGCAACGAGUUGCAUAUUGACGAAACUCCACAAUUGAAUUAUUUAGUUCACUCACAUUCAAUUACACGGGAAUAUUAAAUGUUGUUGAACAUGGAAAGGGGUGAAGCACAAAUAAUCUACCUAUCUAGGCAUUUUAAAUGAGGCCGGAAAUGACAUAUAGCAUCUCCGAACUUACCCCACAGGUUAACUUUGUAAUCUGUCCAGAUCUGUCCUAACUGCAUUUUAUGUUAGUUAAAUGGAAAAACAAGGUGGUUCACGUGAUUCUACUCGUUGUUCUAGUCCAUUUACAUAUAUGGCUCAUCUCCAAUGGAGCUACGGUUAAUUAACUACAAACUAAACCGUUUCUAUCACAUCGACACACAACCGAUGCAAACAUCAAGCUAAACAGUUUUAAAUAUGCAUGAAAGUUGAGAAAUAUUAUUCUACGUGAUAAUCUAAAUGUUCUACAUAUAUAAUUUACCGCGAUACGACACACGAUUUAAAAACUACAGGCGUUCUAAAAUAGGCAUCUAAUGAAAAUUGCAGUUCCUAGACGAAAGAAAAACUACAAGCAAUAGACACAGGCUGGGCUAGCCACUGCCAAUGAUAGUGGGGCCGCACGGGUGGUCAACUAGUCAACUUCAAGAUCAGUCAAUCGUGGCGCUGGGACCCGAUGUCAUUGUCUCAUAGAAAAAAGGAAAAAAGAUGGCCCAGCACGAAAUGUGAUUAGCCAGGGAUUCGAACCCCGGUCUCCUGGGUGAAACGAGAUGGCACUAGCCACUCGAUCUACUACAUGUGCCACGGCAGGAAUAAAAUGCAAAACCAAAUAUGGUGAAUCCGACGACUGGGGCUCCAUUCCCAGCGUUAGGAGCUCAAUUCGCGGUAGACCAUUGGUGCACAAGAUGCGAGCACCCCAUCCAUGGCGGGGUUGCGGUUCCUGUUGGUCAGAAGAGAGAGAGAGCUGAGCGGGAGGGAGGAGAAGGAGAAACACGGGAGGCACGAUAGGGAAAGGAGAGGGCGAGGAGGCAGUCCCUAGAGGUGGGGCGAGGCCCAAGGGGACCCCGGCGAAGCUCCGGUGGCCGGCGAUGCAUCCUACCAGAGAAACAGAGAGAGAGUUGAGAAACUGAGAGAGAGAGAGAAAAACGAAAGAGAGGUGGAGAUAGCAGGGGGACAGGGGACGACGGCUUGAUCUCCGAUCGUCGCAAUGACUCGUGAGGUAGGAGGAGCUCGGGAUGAACUUCUUCUCGGCGCUCGGGAUAGUCCUGCAAGUGCAAGGAGGAUGCAGGGACGCUGCAGAUCGAGAGGAGGCAGAACGAGGACGGUUGUCCCCUGCUUCGUCA
RNAcentral lists this long non-coding RNA (14440 nucleotides) under Hordeum vulgare. RNAcentral describes it as "long non-coding RNA (HVUL_LNC018749)". The record is from RNAcentral. Lineage: Eukaryota; Viridiplantae; Streptophyta; Magnoliopsida; Poales; Poaceae.